This 253-nucleotide ribosomal RNA is filed under the name uncultured bacterium. RNAcentral's name for it is "partial 16S ribosomal RNA". It matches the Rfam family "Bacterial small subunit ribosomal RNA", at positions 524 to 776 of the family's 1533-position model. The record is from RNAcentral.
UACGAGAGGCCCAAACGUUAUUCGGAAUUACUGGGCUUAAAGAGUUCGUAGGCGGCGCAGCAAGUAGGGUGUGAAAGCCCUCGGCUCAACCGAGGAAUUGCGCUCUAAACUACUGUGCUCGAGGAAUCUAGAGGUGAGCGGAACUGAUGGUGGAGCGGUGAAAUGCGUUGAUAUCAUCAGGAACACCGGAGGCGAAGGCGGCUCACUGGGGAUUUUCUGACGCUGAGGAACGAAAGCCAGGGGAGCGAACGGG